CGACUUAUAUUCUGUAGCAAGGUUAACCGAAUAGGGGAGCCGGAGGGAAACCGAGUCUUAAUUGGGCGUUAAGUUGCAGGGUAUAGACCCGAAACCCGGUGAUCUAGCCAUGGGCAGGUUGAAGGUUGGGUAACACUAACUGGAGGACCGAACCGACUAAUGUUGAAAAAUUAGCGGAUGACCUGUGGCUGGGGGUGAAAGGCCAAUCAAACCGGGAGAUAGCUGGUUCUCCCCGAAAGCUAUUUAGGUAGCGCCUCGUGAAUUCAUCUCCGGGGGUAGAGCACUGUUUCGGCUAGGGGGCCAUCCCGGCUUACCAACCCGAUGCAAACUGCGAAUACCGGAGAAUGUUAUCACGGGAGACACACGGCGGGUGCUAACGUCCGUCGUGAAGAGGGAAACAACCCAGACCGCCAGCUAAGGUCCCAAAGUCAUGGUUAAGUGGGAAACGAUGUGGGAAGGCCCAGACAGCCAGGAUGUUGGCUUAGAAGCAGCCAUCAUUUAAAGAAAGCGUAAUAGCUCACUGGUCGAGUCGGCCUGCGCGGAAGAUGUAACGGGGCUAAACCAUGCACCGAAGCUGCGGCAGCGAACGUAUCACCCAAGACAACUUUACGGAGUUGACGAUUGACGGAGCGAAGCGACGUCAAAGCGUUCAUUAAAGUCGAGUUGGCUUAGGGAUACGUUCGUUGGGUAGGGGAGCGUUCUGUAAGCCUGUGAAGGUGUGUCGUGAGGCAUGCUGGAGGUAUCAGAAGUGCGAAUGCUGACAUAAGUAACGAUAAAGCGGGUGAAAAGCCCGCUCGCCGGAAGACCAAGGGUUCCUGUCCAACGUUAAUCGGGGCAGGGUGAGUCGACCCCUAAGGCGAGGCCGAAAGGCGUAGUCGAUGGGAAACGGGUUAAUAUUCCCGUACUUGGUGUUACUGCGAAGGGGGGACGGAGAAGGCUAUGUUGGCCGGGCGACGGUUGUCCCGGUUUAAGCGUGUAGGUGUGUGUUCCAGGUAAAUCCGGUUCACUUUAACACUGAGGCGUGACGACGAGGCACUACGGUGCUGAAGCAACAAAUGCCCUGCUUCCAGGAAAAGCCUCUAAGCAUCAGGUAACAUCAAAUCGUACCCCAAACCGACACAGGUGGUCAGGUAGAGAAUACCAAGGCGCUUGAGAGAACUCGGGUGAAGGAACUAGGCAAAAUGGUGCCGUAACUUCGGGAGAAGGCACGCUGACACGUAGGUGAAGUGAUUUACUCAUGGAGCUGAAGUCAGUCGAAGAUACCAGCUGGCUGCAACUGUUUAUUAAAAACACAGCACUGUGCAAACACGAAAGUGGACGUAUACGGUGUGACGCCUGCCCGGUGCCGGAAGGUUAAUUGAUGGGGUCAGCGCAAGCGAAGCUCCUGAUCGAAGCCCCGGUAAACGGCGGCCGUAACUAUAACGGUCCUAAGGUAGCGAAAUUCCUUGUCGGGUAAGUUCCGACCUGCACGAAUGGCGUAAUGAUGGCCAGGCUGUCUCCACCCGAGACUCAGUGAAAUUGAACUCGCUGUGAAGAUGCAGUGUACCCGCGGCAAGACGGAAAGACCCCGUGAACCUUUACUAUAGCUUGACACUGAACAUUGAGCCUUGAUGUGUAGGAUAGGUGGGAGGCUUUGAAGUGUGGACGCCAGUCUGCAUGGAGCCGACCUUGAAAUACCACCCUUUAAUGUUUGAUGUUCUAACGUGGACCCGUAAUCCGGGUUGCGGACAGUGUCUGGUGGGUAGUUUGACUGGGGCGGUCUCCUCCUAAAGAGUAACGGAGGAGCACGAAGGUUGGCUAAUCCUGGUCGGACAUCAGGAGGUUAGUGCAAUGGCAUAAGCCAGCUUGACUGCGAGCGUGACGGCGCGAGCAGGUGCGAAAGCAGGUCAUAGUGAUCCGGUGGUUCUGAAUGGAAGGGCCAUCGCUCAACGGAUAAAAGGUACUCCGGGGAUAACAGGCUGAUACCGCCCAAGAGUUCAUAUCGACGGCGGUGUUUGGCACCUCGAUGUCGGCUCAUCACAUCCUGGGGCUGAAGUAGGUCCCAAGGGUAUGGCUGUUCGCCAUUUAAAGUGGUACGCGAGCUGGGUUUAGAACGUCGUGAGACAGUUCGGUCCCUAUCUGCCGUGGGCGCUGGAGAACUGAGGGGGGCUGCUCCUAGUACGAGAGGACCGGAGUGGACGCAUCACUGGUGUUCGGGUUGUCAUGCCAAUGGCACUGCCCGGUAGCUAAAUGCGGAAGAGAUAAGUGCUGAAAGCAUCUAAGCACGAAACUUGCCCCGAGAUGAGUUCUCCCUGAGACUUAGAGUCUCCUGAAGGAACGUUGAAGACGACGACGUUGAUAGGCCGGGUGUGUAAGCGCAGCGAUGCGUUGAGCUAACCGGUACUAAUGAACCGUGAGGCUUAACCUUACAACGCCGAAG
This 2419-nucleotide ribosomal RNA is filed under the name Salmonella enterica subsp. enterica serovar Typhimurium. RNAcentral describes it as "partial 23S ribosomal RNA". It matches the Rfam family "Bacterial large subunit ribosomal RNA", at positions 624 to 2925 of the family's 2925-position model. The record is from RNAcentral. Lineage: Bacteria; Pseudomonadati; Pseudomonadota; Gammaproteobacteria; Enterobacterales; Enterobacteriaceae.